GGGUUCCUGCGUAAAGCUAAUCUGCGCAGGGUUAGCCGGCCCCUAAGGCGAGGCCGAAAGGCGUAGUCGAUGGGAACCACGUUAAUAUUCGUGGGCCAAGGGAUGAGUGACGGAUUUCGAAAGUUGUAUUCCCUUAUUGGAUUGGGAAUGCAGCCUGGAAGUUCCUGGAAAUAGCCUCCCUAUUAGACCGUACCCGAAACCGA
Molecule: ribosomal RNA, 203 nt
Filed under: Alexandrium margalefii
Lineage: Eukaryota; Dinophyceae; Gonyaulacales; Pyrocystaceae
Description: partial Bacterial large subunit ribosomal RNA
Rfam family: Bacterial large subunit ribosomal RNA
Source: RNAcentral